GCAAGUCGAACGGUAACAGGAAUCUUCGGAUUUGAUGACGAGUGGCGCACGGGUGCGUAACGCGUAUGCAACCUACCUACAACAGGAGAAUAGCCCGUGGAAACGCGGAUUAAUACUCAAUAACACUAUAAGGCUACCUAGUUUAAUAGGUAAAGAUUUAUCGGUUGUAGAUGGGCAUGCGUCCCAUUAGCUAGAUGGUGAGGUAACGGCUCACCAUGGUAACGAUGGGUAGGGGUUCUGAGAGGAAGAUC
RNAcentral lists this ribosomal RNA (251 nucleotides) under uncultured bacterium. RNAcentral's name for it is "partial 16S ribosomal RNA". It matches the Rfam family "Bacterial small subunit ribosomal RNA", at positions 57 to 305 of the family's 1533-position model. The record is from RNAcentral.